AUACGUAUGGUGCAAGCGUUAUCCGGAUUUACUGGGUGUAAAGGGCGCGUAGGCGGCCGCUUAAGUCUGGAGUGAAAGCCCUGUUUUCAAGAUGGGAAUUGCUUUGGAUACUGGGGGGCUUGAGUGCAGGAGAGGUUAUCGGAAUUCCCGGUGUAGCGGUGAAAUGCGUAGAGAUCGGGAGGAACACCAGUGGCGAAGGCGGGUAACUGGACUGCAACUGACGCUGAGGCGCGAAAGUGUGGGGAGCAAACAGGAUUAGAUACCCUGGUAGUCCACACUGUAAACGAUGAAUGCUAGGUGUAAGAGGUAUCGACCCCUUUUGUGCCGGAGUCAACACAAUAAGCAUUCCGCCUGGGGAGUACGGCCGCAAGGUUGAAACUCAAAUGAAUUGACGGGG
This 397-nucleotide ribosomal RNA is filed under the name uncultured bacterium. RNAcentral's name for it is "partial 16S ribosomal RNA". It matches the Rfam family "Bacterial small subunit ribosomal RNA", at positions 523 to 918 of the family's 1533-position model. The record is from RNAcentral.